This is a long non-coding RNA of Dermochelys coriacea (leatherback sea turtle), 1387 nucleotides long. RefSeq lists it as uncharacterized. Lineage: Eukaryota; Metazoa; Chordata; Testudines; Dermochelyidae. The transcript has 2 exons. The record is from RefSeq and is a predicted model, not a curated record.
GAGAAUCCACACAGGAGAGCGACCCUAUGAAUGCUGUUUGUUUUUUUCCCUCAUCCCUGCAUGAUGACAUGGAGAAAAUUCAAAUGCAGUUCAGUCAACAAGAGAGAAUACUCCAAGCUAUUGGACAUAUUAUCAAAGGAACAAUAGCUUGGAUUGUUUUUAAAAAAUUGUGUUUUUAAAUCUCCACUCUGAAAAAGUGAACAGCAGCAGACCCUAAACGGUGCAACUGACAGAAGUGCACAUGACCACAGUGUAAUUCAGUUGUUUAAAUCAAUCGUGUCUCAGAUGAUCCAGGGAUAGAAUUCCACAGCAAGUGACUUGAAACUUUGAAAAAUGCCCAGAUGUUUGGUUCCCAAAGCAUUUCUGACCUGAUCCCUACAGGAGGUUACUCAUGAAGAGAUCUCCUAGCUAAUCCCAAAAUUUGGGAAAUGCUGUCUGUGAUGAGGUGUAUCAACCCUGCACUAGCACUCCUAGGGUUAACUUCACCUUGUGGACUGAAGAAGCCACAACCCUUCACCCUUCCUUGGCAUGGUCCGAUUGUAGACAGAGUAUAAAAGGGAGCAGUUCAGCUCAGCCUGGGCUGACUGAGGAGGAGAGCAAACCUGUAUUGUGGGCUCCUGCCAGGAAGCUGCUCGACCCCAGGCUGCAGAGGCCAGCCGUGCUGAGGCACCUGCAGACAACCAGUCGACUGCCAAGGAUGGCCAAGAAGAGAUGCCGGAUGCUGGGAGACUACUGACGCUGGAAGUAAGGGUGGGAAGUGACCAGGAACUGGACUGUUGCAGUGAGAAAUCAGGACACAGGAAUAUUGGUUCCUCAAGGCCAUGGGUCAGGACCUGGUGGGGUAGAGCAGUCCCAGGUCCCUCUACCCUGCACUGCACUCACCACUGGAUGUGGUCACCACCUCACAACAACCUGUCUUGACCCAGGGGACAGAUUUCUUCCCCCCAAAUCCCUGCAUUUUUAUGCAGCCCCACACCCUGCAACAGGAUGUAUCAACCCCAUGGAACUUUCUCAUAAUGAUGUAGAUGUGGAGGAAACAGAAGAGGUGUUUUUGUUGAACUCACCAUGUGUGGGUGCUAUAACUGUGUGUAAGAUGAAAUCGGUGUUGAAUGUGAGAUGGCUGCAGAAAAAUAGCUUUUUUAAUAGAAAUCUCAUCUCUUGUAUCUUACAGAGAUUCUGAUCCAAGUCCUGUAUCUAAUCCCUAACCACAACUGUACUCAAGGGUUCACUGGUGGAAAGGGGGAUUAAAAGAAAACUAACAUUUUUGAGAGGAUUCUUUAAUCAUUGAGUAUUUAUUUUUACCAAUGAAAAUGAAAUGAAACAUGAAAUUACUCUUUAACAAGGAAGAGAUUUAAUUAUGUGAUCAAUAUGAAUUAUACUGGAAAAA